This 496-nucleotide ribosomal RNA is filed under the name uncultured bacterium. Its description in RNAcentral is "partial 16S ribosomal RNA". It matches the Rfam family "Bacterial small subunit ribosomal RNA", at positions 29 to 507 of the family's 1533-position model. The record is from RNAcentral.
AUGAACGCUGGCGGCGUGCCUAAUACAUGCAAGUCGAGCGAACGGACGAGAAGCUUGCUUCUCUGAUGUUAGCGGCGGACGGGUUAGUAACACGUGGAUAACCUACCUAUAGGACUGGGAUAACUUCGGGAAACCGGAGCUAAUACCGGAUAAUAUUUUGAACCGCAUGGUUCAAAAGUGAAAGACGGUCUUGCUGUCACUUAUAGAUGGAUCCGCGCUGCAUUAGCUAGUUGGUAAGGUAACGGCUUACCAAGGCAACGAUGCAUAGCCGACCUGAGAGGGUGAUCGGCCACACUGGAACUGAGACACGGUCCAGACUCCUACGGGAGGCAGCAGUAGGGAAUCUUCCGCAAUGGGCGAAAGCCUGACGGAGCAACGCCGCGUGAGUGAUGAAGGUCUUCGGAUCGUAAAACUCUGUUAUUAGGGAAGAACAUAUGUGUAAGUAACUGUGCACAUCUUGACGGUACCUAAUCAGAAAGCCACGGCUAACUACGUG